UUAAAAAAUCAUGUAAUACUACAUCAGUGUUAUGUUAUUGUAUGACUUCAUCUUUUAUACAGUCGGGUUCGGGGUUUCGGGCAGCCAUGGCGAAUUUCGGCAAGAUUUUACCCCAGUGAAAAAGGCUUGUAAUCCACAGUGAUCAGCUAAGAUGUUGUUUCACUGGAUUAUUUAAUUGGGCAUAUAAUUGGAUAUCUCUGGAUCAGCUGAGAUGUAAUCGAUCACAGGAUUAUUUAAUGCAUAGGCUAAUUGGGCAUAUAGUUGAAAAUCUCUGUCCUCAACCUGGAAGCCAUGUUUUGUUCCUAACCAUCUAUGAUUAAUUCUCUAUGAAGUUCAGACUGUCUGCUCUUCCUUUGGAAAUACACAGUUAGUCAACCAACAAAGAAACACACAAAACUUGAAGGAUUCUCUAGUGAGGGCUUAUGGAAAUGAUCUAUGUCUACUCUCAGAAUGGUGAAAGACUAUCAGAUUAUGCAAAGACUAACAGAAUAUCCUCUCUUGGAACACUGAAACAAGAAAAUCAAACAGGAGAUGGAUGGAGGAUUUAAGAAGCACAUAGAUAAAUAUGAUUUCCUACGAAUUUAACCAGUAUUAUCAUAGACUGUGGUUUACAGGAUGACAAAGUAACAGGAUUGUAUCAUUUUACUGUCAGACACUGACUAUGGAUAAGAUGUACCCAUUUAUUAAACUGAGAUCUAGUCAAAUCAAGUACAAUUGUAUUGAAAAAUGACUUUC
Long non-coding RNA from Saccostrea cuccullata (small rock oyster), 735 nucleotides. RefSeq lists it as uncharacterized. The transcript has 5 exons. NCBI's taxonomy places the organism in Eukaryota, Metazoa, Mollusca, Bivalvia, Ostreida, Ostreidae. The record is from RefSeq and is a predicted model, not a curated record.